RNAcentral lists this ribosomal RNA (222 nucleotides) under uncultured bacterium. RNAcentral describes it as "partial 16S ribosomal RNA". It matches the Rfam family "Bacterial small subunit ribosomal RNA", at positions 109 to 334 of the family's 1533-position model. The record is from RNAcentral.
AGUAAUGCUUGGGAAUCUAGCUUAUGGAGGGGGAUAACUAUGGGAAACUGUAGCUAAUACCGCGUAGAAUCGGGAGAUGAAAGUGUGGGACCUUCGGGCCACAUGCCAUAGGAUGAGCCCAAGUGGGAUUAGGUAGUUGGUGAGGUAAAGGCUCACCAAGCCGACGAUCUCUAGCUGGUCUGAGAGGAUGACCAGCCACACUGGGACUGAGACACGGCCCAG